UGGGGAAUAUUGGACAAUGGGCGAAAGCCUGAUCCAGCCAUGCCGCGUGUGUGAAGAAGGUCUUCGGAUUGUAAAGCACUUUAAGUUGGGAGGAAGGGCAGUUACCUAAUACGUGAUUGUUUUGACGUUACCGACAGAAUAAGCACCGGCUAACUCUGUGCCAGCAGCCGCGGUAAUACAGAGGGUGCAAGCGUUAAUCGGAAUUACUGGGCGUAAAGCGCGCGUAGGUGGUUAGUUAAGUUGGAUGUGAAAUCCCCGGGCUCAACCUGGGAACUGCAUUCAAAACUGACUGACUAGAGUAUGAUAGAGGGUGGUGGAAUUUCCUGUGUAGCGGUGAAAUGCGUAGAUAUAGGAAGGAACACCAGUGGCGAAGGCGACCACCUGGACUGAUACUGACACUGAGGUGCGAAAGCGUGGGGAGCAAACAGGAUUAGAUACCCACGUAGUCCCUGAGCGGGCUGGCAAGGCGCAU
RNAcentral lists this ribosomal RNA (472 nucleotides) under uncultured bacterium. Its description in RNAcentral is "bacterial SSU rRNA". It matches the Rfam family "Bacterial small subunit ribosomal RNA", at positions 355 to 825 of the family's 1533-position model. The record is from RNAcentral.